GACGAACCGUCCAAACGUUGUUCGGAAUCACUGGGCUUAAAGGGCGCGUAGGCGGAUGAGCAAGUCUGUGGUGAAAUCCCCCGGCUUAACCGGGGAACUGCCGUGGAUACUGCCCAUCUUGAGGAAGAUAGGGGCGUCUGGAACUAGCGGUGGAGCGGUGAAAUGCGUUGAUAUCGCUAGGAACUCCGGUGGCGAAGGCGAGACGCUGGAUCUUUUCUGACGCUGAGGCGCGAAAGCCAGGGGAGCGAACGGGAUUAGAUACCCCGGUAGUCCUGGCCCUAAACGAUGAGAACUGGAUAGCGGGCUUGACAUAGGCACGCUGUCGGAGCAAAAGUGUUAAGUUCUCCGCCUGGGGAGUAUGGUCGCAAGGCUGAA
This 375-nucleotide ribosomal RNA is filed under the name uncultured bacterium. RNAcentral describes it as "bacterial SSU rRNA". It matches the Rfam family "Bacterial small subunit ribosomal RNA", at positions 524 to 898 of the family's 1533-position model. The record is from RNAcentral.